Molecule: ribosomal RNA, 515 nt
Filed under: uncultured bacterium
Lineage: Bacteria
Description: bacterial SSU rRNA
Rfam family: Bacterial small subunit ribosomal RNA
Source: RNAcentral
AGGACGAACGCUGGCGGCGUGCCUAACACAUGCAAGUCGAACGGGGAUUUGUUUCGGCAGAAUCCUAGUGGCGAACGGGUGAGUAACGCGUAGGCAACCUGCCCCCCGGAUUGGGACAACACCCCGAAAGGGGUGCUAAUACCGGAUACGAAGAUAACACCGCAUGGUGAUAUUUUGAAAGAUGGCCUCUAUUUAUAAGCUAUCGCCGGGGGAUGGGCCUGCGUCCGAUUAGCUGGUUGGUGGGGUAACGGCCUACCAAGGCGACGAUCGGUAGCCGGUCUGAGAGGAUGAACGGCCACAUUGGGACUGAGACACGGCCCAGACUCCUACGGGAGGCAGCAGUGGGGAAUCUUCCGCAAUGGGCGAAAGCCUGACGGAGCAACGCCGCGUGGGUGAGGAAAGUUCUUCGGAACGUAAAGCCCUGUUGUACAUGACGAACGUGUAUCCUAUCAACAGCGGGAUACAAUGACGGUAGUGUACGAGGAAGCCACGGCUAACUACGUGCCAGCAGCUGC